Molecule: ribosomal RNA, 460 nt
Filed under: uncultured bacterium
Lineage: Bacteria
Description: partial 16S ribosomal RNA
Rfam family: Bacterial small subunit ribosomal RNA
Source: RNAcentral
CCUACGGGCGGCAGCAGUGAGGAAUAUUGGUCAAUGGACGAGAGUCUGAACCAGCCAAGUAGCGUGAAGGAUGACUGCCCUAUGGGUUGUAAACUUCUUUUAUAUGGGAAUAAAAUGUUCCACGUGUGGGCUUUUGUAUGUACCCUAUGAAUAAGGAUCGGCUAACUCCGUGCCAGCAGCCGCGGUAAUACGGAGGAUCCGAGCGUUAUCCGGAUUUAUUGGGUUUAAAGGGAGCGUAGGUGGAUUGUUAAGUCAGUUGUGAAAGCUUGCGGCUCAACCGUAAAAUUGCAGUUGAAACUGGCAGUCUUGAGUACAGGAGAGGUGGGCGGAAUUCGUGGUGUAGCGGUGAAAUGCUUAGAUAUCACGAAGAACUCCGAUUGCGAAGGCAGCUCACUGGACUGCAACUGACACUGAGGCUCGAAAGUGUGGGUAUCAAACAGGAUUAGAUACCCGAGUAGUC